GAUGAACGCUGGCGGCGUGCUUAACACAUGCAAGUCGAACGGAAAGGCCCAAGCUUGCUUGGGUACUCGAGUGGCGAACGGGUGAGUAACAUGUGGGUGAUCUGCCCUGCACUUCGGGAUAAGCCUGGGAAACUGGGUCUAAUACCGGAUAGGACCACUUCUUGGAUUUUGUGGUGGAAAGUUUUUUCGGUGUGGGAUGAGCUCGCGGCCUAUCAGCUUGUUGGUGGGGUAAUGGCCUACCAAGGCGUCGACGGGUAGCCGGCCUGAGAGGGUGUACGGCCACAUUGGGACUGAGAUACGGCCCAGACUCCUACGGGAGGCAGCAGUGGGGAAUAUUGCACAAUGGGCGCAAGCCUGAUGCAGCGACGCCGCGUGGGGGAUGACGGCCUUCGGGUUGUAAACUCCUUUCGCUAGGGACGAAGCGUUUUGUGACGGUACCUGGAGAAGAAGCACCGGCUAACUACGUG
Molecule: ribosomal RNA, 467 nt
Filed under: uncultured bacterium
Lineage: Bacteria
Description: partial 16S ribosomal RNA
Rfam family: Bacterial small subunit ribosomal RNA
Source: RNAcentral